This 459-nucleotide ribosomal RNA is filed under the name uncultured bacterium. RNAcentral describes it as "partial 16S ribosomal RNA". It matches the Rfam family "Bacterial small subunit ribosomal RNA", at positions 338 to 795 of the family's 1533-position model. The record is from RNAcentral.
CCUACGGGGGGCUGCAGUGAGGAAUAUUGGUCAAUGGGCGGGAGCCUGAACCAGCCAAGCCGCGUGAGGGAAGAAGGUACAGCGUAUCGUAAACCUCUUUUGUCAGGGAACAAAGGCGUGGACUAGUCCCCUGAUGAGGGUACCUUAAGAAAAAGCAUCGGCUAACUCCGUGCCAGCAGCCGCGGUAAUACGGAGGAUGCCAGCGUUAUCCGGAUUUAUUGGGGUAAAAGGGUGCGCAGGCGGCCUGUUAAGUCAGCGGUAAAAGCCCGGGGCUAAACCCCGGCGAGCCGUUGAAACUGGCGGGCUGGAGUUGGAGAGAAGUACGCGGAAUGCGCGGUGUAGCGGUGAAAUGCUUAGAUAUCGCGCAGAACCCCGAUUGCGAAGGCAGCGUACCGGAUCCAAACUGACGCUGAGGCACGAAAGCGUGGGUAGCAAACAGGAUUAGAUACCCGUGUAGUC